AUAUGCCCAGUUAAAUUUGGAUUUUAGAUAAACAAUAAUUCUUAGCAUAAAUAUGUCUCAUGAAAUAUUUUGGACAUACUUACGCUAAAAAAAAAUUCAUUGUUUAUCUGAAAUUCAUAUUUACCUGGACAUUCUGUAUUUU
Molecule: microRNA precursor, 142 nt
Filed under: Pteropus vampyrus (large flying fox)
Lineage: Eukaryota; Metazoa; Chordata; Mammalia; Chiroptera; Pteropodidae
Description: miRNA (ENSPVAG00000027331.1)
Rfam family: mir-1302 microRNA precursor family (bases 39-90)
Source: RNAcentral